Molecule: ribosomal RNA, 494 nt
Filed under: uncultured bacterium
Lineage: Bacteria
Description: partial 16S ribosomal RNA
Rfam family: Bacterial small subunit ribosomal RNA
Source: RNAcentral
GACGAACGCUGGCGGCGUGCUUAACACAUGCAAGUCGAACGGAAAGGCCUGCUUUCCCUUGUGGAUUGCGGGUACUCGAGUGGCGAACGGGUGAGUAACACGUGAGUGAUCUGCCCCCAACUUGGGUAUAAGCCUGGGAAACUGGGUCUAAUUCCCGAUAGGACUGCAGGGUGGUGCCUGUGGUGGAAAACGAUUUUCUAGUGGUUGGGGAUGAGCUCGCGGCCUAUCAGCUUGUUGGUGGGGUAAUGGCCUACCAAGGCGGCGACGGGUAGCCGGCCUGGGAGGGAGGACGGCGACAGUGGGACUGAGAUACGGCCCAGACUACUAGGGGAGGCAGCAGUGGGGAAUAUUGCACAAGGGGCGGAAGCCUGAUGCAGCGACGCCGAGUGGGGGAUGACGGCCUUCGGGUUGUAAACUCCUUUCGGCCGCGAGGAAGCCACCUGGUUGGAAGGGUGGUGACGGUAGUGGUAGAAGAAGCACCGGCUAACUACGUG